Molecule: ribosomal RNA, 450 nt
Filed under: uncultured bacterium
Lineage: Bacteria
Description: partial 16S ribosomal RNA
Rfam family: Bacterial small subunit ribosomal RNA
Source: RNAcentral
GUCGAGAAUAAUUCACAAUGGGGGAAACCCUGAUGGUGCAACGCCGCGUGGAGGAUGAAGGUCUUCGGAUUGUAAACUCCUGUCAUCUGGGAGUAAGACCUGACGGUGAAUAGCCGGCAGGGUUGAUAGUACCAGAAGAGGAAGGGACGGCUAACUUCGUGCCAGCAGCCGCGGUAAUACGAAGGUCCCAAGCGUUGUUCGGAAUCACUGGGCGUAAAGGGAGCGUAGGCGGCGUGGUAAGUCAGAUGUGAAAUCCCGGGGCUCAACCCCGGAACUGCAUCCGAUACUGCCAUGCUUGAGGGUUGGAGAGGUAGCUGGAAUUCUCGGUGUAGCAGUGAAAUGCGUGGAUAUCGAGAGGAACACUCGUGGCGAAGGCGAGCUACUGGACAACAUCUGACGCUGAGGCUCGAAGGCCAGGGGAGCAAAAGGGAUUAGAAACCCCAGUAGUCC